Transfer RNA from Malassezia pachydermatis, 72 nucleotides. It matches the Rfam family "tRNA". Rfam says of the family: Transfer RNA (tRNA) molecules are approximately 80 nucleotides in length. Their secondary structure includes four short double-helical elements and three loops (D, anti-codon, and T loops). The record is from Rfam. Lineage: Eukaryota; Fungi; Basidiomycota; Malasseziomycetes; Malasseziales; Malasseziaceae.
GGUCUUUUAGUUUAAUGGUAAAACCCUCGGUCUUCAUCUGAGUGAGUGGGCGUUCGAGUCGCCUAAAGAUCA